Molecule: transfer-messenger RNA, 399 nt
Filed under: uncultured Paraprevotella sp.
Lineage: Bacteria; Pseudomonadati; Bacteroidota; Bacteroidia; Bacteroidales; Prevotellaceae
Rfam family: transfer-messenger RNA
About the family: Bacterial tmRNA, also known as 10Sa RNA or SsrA, is named for its dual tRNA and mRNA-like properties. Its role is to liberate the mRNA from a stalled ribosome. To accomplish this part of the tmRNA is used as a reading frame that ends in a translation stop signal.
Source: RNAcentral
GGGGUUGACAUGGAUUUGACAGCAGGAUGGAAUGGCAUGUAAGCACGCAGAGGGUCGGUGAUUUCCUCUAUAAUCUCAGUUACCAAAAAUUUAUCUGGCGAAAACAACUACGCUCUCGCUGCGUAAUCGAAGCAUAGUAGAUUACCUUUAUUUCGGCACCAGGUGCUGAAACGAGACAUCACCCGGAAGCUGUUGCUCCGAAGCGUUCCGAACAGGUGGUGCAGCCAAAUCGGGGAUAGUCGCAGGCGGCCUUGCACCUGCGAUGAAAAUGUAAAGGAUAAGGUACAGGUCGGGUAGUCCGGGUCUUGUCUGUACACGAAAACCCUAAGCCGGAAUAAGCGUGUAGAAAGCAUACGGUUUCCCUGUUUGGACGAGGGUUCGAUUCCCUCCAGCUCCACC